GUUACAGGAAGGAUAAGUUUACUUAUUUUUUCCACCUCCCUCUGUUUUUUCCUCUAUCCUAAUUUCCUUCCUCCCAAUUUGCUGUCGUUCUAAUUUAUUUCCAUCCUUUGAGGGAUAACGGCUAACGGUGAUCUGCCACCACGAUCUCAAUGUAUCUCCCGCCCCCUUUCUCCGGACUAAAUUGAAAACAGCUUUCAAACACUCCACACAGCGCAAUGCAGUCAGACUCCCUUUCUUGCAAAAACCUUUGCUGGUCAUACUCCGUCUCCACUCCACCCACUACCCAUUUGACAAAAAUCCUCAAAGAACUUUGCUUUCACUCAGACUCACAACUUCUCACUAUCCAGUCAUCGAAAUUGAGUUCCGACUUGGUGCCAGUGGGCAUCCAGAGGCAACCAAAGAAGGACUUGUCCCGGAUUCUGAGAACGGAUGCUGCUAUAAAGGCUAUAGAACAAAAAGCCAAUUCCAAGAAGUAUAAUAGGCUUUGGCCUAAGGCUGUUUUGGAGUCUCUUGAUGACGCGAUAAGGGAUAACCGUUGGGAAUCUGCUCUUAAGAUUUUCGAGCUUCUCCGUAACCAACACUGGUAUGAGCCACGAUGCCGAACAUACACAAAGUUAUUGAUGAUGCUUGGAAAGUGCAGGCAACCUGAGGAGGCUUGUUUUCUUUUUGAGAUCAUGCAGUCUGAAGGCCUCCAACCCACUGUUGAUGUUUACACUGCUCUUGUAAGUGCUUAUGGAGAAAGUGGCCAACUUGACAAGGCAUUUUCUAUUGUUGAUGAUAUGAAAUCAGUCUCUGACUGCAAACCAGAUGUGUAUACAUAUUCUGUCCUUGUAAAUUUUUGCACUAAACUCCUUCGUUUUGAUCUGAUUGGAAGAAUUCUUGCUGAGAUGUCAUAUCUGGGAGUUGAAUGCAGCAGUGUAACAUUUAACACUAUUAUCAACGGAUAUGGUAAGGCUAAAAUGUUUGAAGAAAUGGAGAACUCAUUGACAGAUAUGAUUGAAAGCGGCAGCUCCAGUCCAGAUAUUUUCACAUUUAAUUCUGUCAUUGGAGCCUACGGGAACAAUGGACAAAUUGAGAAGAUGGAGAAAUGGUAUAAUGAAUUUCAGCUAAUGGGAUUGAGCCCAGACAUAAAGACAUUUAAUAUCUUGAUAAGAUCAUAUGGGAAAGCAGGCUUGUAUGAGAAGAUAAAGGCUGUUAUGAAAUUUAUGCAGAGAAGGUUCUUCUCUCCAACCGUUGUUACUUAUAACAUUAUUAUUGAGACUUUUGGAAAGGCUGGUGAUAUUGAGAAGAUGGAUGAGUACUUCAAAAGAAUGAAGCAUCAAGGAAUGAAGCCUAAUGCUGUUACAUACUGUUCUCUUGUUAAUGCUUACAGCAGAGCUGGGCUUAUAAUGAAAGUUGAUUCAAUUUUGAGGCAAGUCGAGAACUCUGAUGUAGUAAUAGAUACCCCAUUCUUUAAUUGCAUCAUCAAUGCCUAUGGUCAGGCUGGUGAUAUCGAAAAGAUGGCUCAGUUAUUUCUGGCUAUGGAGGAAAGAAAAUGCAAGCCUGAUAGUAUCACCUUCGCAACCAUGAUCCAAGCCUAUACUAGCCAAGGAAUGACUGAAGCUGCUCAAGAUUUGGAAAAGAAUAUGAUUACAGUGAAGGAAAAUUCAGGUAUCUUGUGAUUCGUUGUACAUGCUAAUAGUACUAUCUGUUGGUUUCUGAGAAUCUCUCCUUCAACUGGCACACUAGCACUUGGGUUAUUAUGGAAUAAUGAAGCAACCUUUGAAAAUGGACAAUGCAAAUGAAAGAGGUGAGAACAUUGAAAUAAAUUUUCCUUUCUUGUGGCUACUUCUGUUGCAGCUAGCUGUUGUAAGUUGCCCACUUCUCACAAAUUACUUUCAUUAAUGGUGUGCUGGAUAUUACAAUAAUAACCUGUCGAAAGAGUAAACAAAUGGAAAUAAAGGGAGGAAAGUAAAAGAAGUUAAAAACAUAUCCCACAAUGAAAACCUUUUGAUUUGUAGAUAAUGUAACAUCUAAGUAUAUGCAUGUGUGAACGUUGUUUGUAUUAGGUGUUCAUUUUAUGUUGUGCUCAUGUGAAAGUGGGAUUUAAGAAUAUGAAAAAAUUAUUGAAAAUUUUAUCUACGAAUUUACUAUAUUUUGCAGGGAAGUUCAAUAAACAUAAUACCUCCGGCUCAAGGAAAUGCUACUUUUGUGCACAGGGCGCCUAUUUAAUAGGAAUGCCUUUGAUGAAUGGUGGCAAGAUCCCAAAGGGCAGUAAAAAAGAAAAAAUGAAUAAAUAAGUGAUGAGGAAAGGCUUAAUUACUAUUGGAUCUCUAGGCUAGAGAUGCAGGGACAAUGGAAGGACAAAAUGUGAUUCAUGAUUGGUUGAGUUAGUUUGAAGACAUAUUGGCCCAUACAUAGUGGCUUUCAACAAAUCCUGGAUUCUUACAAUCCGACUGUUGGUUUUAAUUCUUACACUUUAAUCUUGGAUGGGCCAGCAACAAAAAAUGAGACAUUUAUUUGGUUUUAGUGACUGUUGGAUGGGCUACGGCCUUGUCAAAGCUAAAGCCUUCCAGAAACCUGCAAUCUUUCAGCUUCUUAAAAUUUUGCAUUUGGUUUUAUGACAUGCAAGUUGCAUUUACUUCUUCUUCUUCUUCUUCUUCUUCUUCUUCUUCUUUCCCUCUUUUUCUUCUUCUUGCCACACAUAUUCAUUAGAAUCAGAUUGUAUUACGUGAUUUUGCAUGCACGUAUUUGUAACAGGGUGAGUAUUGCUUCCUUAAUCAGCCUAUGGUUAACUUGACAAACAUGAUUCAUUUCUCUGAGGAGCCAACAUACUGUUUGAUUCCAUGAUACUUCCAACAUGGACAGAUCCAAUCAGCAUCUUUUGGUUCUGAGAAGCUGUAUCAAGUUUUUGUCUUUCAUAUCCAGAGAGGGUUUUCAGAAUUCAGGAGAUAGGACUGGUGUCGUAUAUGAGGGAACUUUUGGUACGCUAGUAACAAUACUAUGCGCUGCUAUGUAUAAGCAAGGAAUGAACAACUCUUUUGGUGUUAUCCAACUGGUACCUGUGUGAAAUGCAUGGAGUUUGAUGUCUCCGGUAACCAUGUCUCAACGUUUCCAACAUGAGAUCACCUAGCAUCCAUGGACAAGAGGUACUUCCAAGGGACAUCCUUGGUUGAAAAUGUAACUAGUUUGGUGAGCUUUUUGACCUCUAUUCAUUUUGUACAAAGAAAUGGAAAAAUAUGAGAGAAGCAUCGGAAAAAGAUGGGAUUUCAGUGCAGAAUGCAAUAACUAUAUUGAAUAAUAUUUCCCUUUUGGCAAA
Hevea brasiliensis (rubber tree) is the source of this 3298-nucleotide RNA transcript. It is a transcript of the gene named pentatricopeptide repeat-containing protein At3g53170, with no coding region annotated. The record is from RefSeq and is a predicted model, not a curated record. The transcript has 3 exons. Lineage: Eukaryota; Viridiplantae; Streptophyta; Magnoliopsida; Malpighiales; Euphorbiaceae.